UGCGGGGUGGCGCAGAGGUAGCGCGCCGGGCUCAUAACCCGGAGGUCGUUGGUUCGAUUCCAGCCCCCGCGACCC
This 75-nucleotide transfer RNA is filed under the name Myxococcales bacterium. RNAcentral's name for it is "tRNA-Met". It matches the Rfam family "tRNA". From Rfam's summary of the family: Transfer RNA (tRNA) molecules are approximately 80 nucleotides in length. Their secondary structure includes four short double-helical elements and three loops (D, anti-codon, and T loops). Further hydrogen bonds mediate the characteristic L-shaped molecular structure. tRNAs have two regions of fundamental functional importance: the anti-codon, which is responsible for specific mRNA codon recognition, and the 3' end, to which the tRNAs corresponding amino acid is attached (by aminoacyl-tRNA synthetases). tRNAs cope with the degeneracy of the genetic code in two manners: having more than one tRNA (with a specific anti-codon) for a particular amino acid; and 'wobble' base-pairing, i.e. permitting non-standard base-pairing at the 3rd anti-codon position. The record is from RNAcentral. Lineage: Bacteria; Pseudomonadati; Myxococcota; Myxococcia; Myxococcales.